GUCAUUGCUCAGUGGGAGGGCAUGUGCUUAGCAUGCAGAACGUUCCAGGUUAAAUCCCCGGCAUCUACA
Podarcis lilfordi (Lilford's wall lizard) is the source of this 69-nucleotide non-coding RNA. The record is from the annotation of a GenBank genome assembly. Lineage: Eukaryota; Metazoa; Chordata; Lepidosauria; Squamata; Lacertidae.